AAGAACUAAAUUAAUGGACCGACUGCUUUUAAUAUAAGUGGCAAAAAAUUUGAUGAUUGAUACUUAAAAUUUUAAAUUUAAAUUUUAAUUAAUUUAUAUUUUCAGCUAAAUUUAUUUUUAAAUAAGAUAAAUAAAACAUAUAACAUGCUAUCUAUCUCUCUAAAGAAAAAAAAAUAUUUCUGACUCAAAUUCACAUCAGGAUCAAUU
RNAcentral lists this long non-coding RNA (207 nucleotides) under Ananas comosus (pineapple). RNAcentral describes it as "long non-coding RNA (ACOM_LNC025699)". The record is from RNAcentral. Lineage: Eukaryota; Viridiplantae; Streptophyta; Magnoliopsida; Poales; Bromeliaceae.